GUCUAUAGCCAUGCCACCUUGAACAAGCCCAAUCUCGUCUGGUCUUGGAAGCUAAGCAGCGUUGUGCUUGGUUAGUAGUUGGAUGGGAGAUCACCUAGGAAGACCGGGUGCUGUAGGCC
This 119-nucleotide ribosomal RNA is filed under the name Pteropus alecto (black flying fox). Lineage: Eukaryota; Metazoa; Chordata; Mammalia; Chiroptera; Pteropodidae. The record is from RNAcentral.